RNAcentral lists this long non-coding RNA (733 nucleotides) under Anas platyrhynchos platyrhynchos (common mallard). Its description in RNAcentral is "lncRNA (ENSAPLG00000019185.1)". Lineage: Eukaryota; Metazoa; Chordata; Aves; Anseriformes; Anatidae. The record is from RNAcentral.
AUGCCCCUGGAGAGAGGGAUGGGGGCAGCUCGGGGAGGUGGUGCUGCAGUGGGCAGCGGGGCAGGGCAGGCUGGGGUUAAAGCAUCUGGUGUGGGUGUUCUGUCCCCAGGCUGUGCACAGCACUUGGUGGGUCUCAGGCACUUUAUGCCUAUAGAUAGAAGUGAUUUAUCUUGGCCCCCCUCUCCCCAAAAGAAACAAUUCAGGAAGGAAACAACAAACUCCAUCCCUUCACCAGGGAUGCUCCCUGCUUUUUGUGGCUCUCUCUGGUGCAGGCAGGUCUGCAGGAGGCAGAGGAGAGGCGUGCUCUGCAUGCGAGGCCCUUCAGCCUGCAACCACUGCUCAGCCCAGCCCCUGAUGGACCUCUCCUGCUCCAAACCCUGCGGAGAAGCAGGGCUGCAUCUCCCAAAUCUGCUCUGCCACGGCUGUGAGUCGGUGCCAGAAGAGCUGAGAACAGGCAAACCUGGGAUAAGCACUGGGAAAAAGGGACUGGUGAGGCUAGGAAGGGGCUGCCUUCUCAGAAAUGCUGCAAGCCCAGCCCCAAAUCCCUCUUGCUCCUGCAGCUGCACACAGAGCUGUGGGCUUCCCCUCUGUAACUGCAAAGGAGAAUGCAGUGCUGUGGGACCUGUGGGCGAGCUGGGGUCUGGUGGCUUCAGCCAACAAUGUGGCUGGCUCAGGGAUUCCGGGGAAAACUCAAAAACCCUGAAAAGCUGGGAAACAGGAAUGCAGAGCAGGG